AAGAGAUAAGUGCUGAAAGCAUCUAAGCACGAAACUUGCCCCGAGAUGAGUUCUCCCUGACUCCUUGAGAGUCCUGAAGGAACGUUGAAGACGACGACGUUGAUAGGCCGGGUGUGUAAGCGCAGCGAUGCGUUGAGCUAACCGGUACUAAUGAGCCGUGAGGCUUAACCUUACAACGCCGAAGGUGUUU
Molecule: ribosomal RNA, 190 nt
Filed under: Escherichia coli
Lineage: Bacteria; Pseudomonadati; Pseudomonadota; Gammaproteobacteria; Enterobacterales; Enterobacteriaceae
Also listed under: 1 other name
Description: partial 23S ribosomal RNA
Rfam family: Bacterial large subunit ribosomal RNA
Source: RNAcentral